This 250-nucleotide ribosomal RNA is filed under the name uncultured bacterium. RNAcentral's name for it is "partial 16S ribosomal RNA". It matches the Rfam family "Bacterial small subunit ribosomal RNA", at positions 104 to 354 of the family's 1533-position model. The record is from RNAcentral.
UGGUGAGUAACGCGUGAGGAACCUGCCUUUCGGAGGGGGACAACAGUUGGAAACGACUGCUAAUACCGCAUGAUACAUUUGGGCCGCAUGGUCUGAAUGUCAAAGAUUUAUCGCCGAAAGAUGGCCUCGCGUCUGAUUAGCUAGUUGGUGGGGUAACGGCCCACCAAGGCGACGAUCAGUAGCCGGACUGAGAGGUUGGCCGGCCACAUUGGGACUGAGAUACGGCCCAGACUCCUACGGGAGGCAGCAG